UGGCACCAUGAUCUUACCACUGGAACAACAGGGCACAUGAAAUGGGAUCUGCAAAGAUUGAUUCCUGGGGACUUCAUCUACGGCCCAGGUCUGCUGUACCUACCAGAGAUGCUUACACAUGGCCCAUGGGAUGCUUCCUGAUAGUCUCCAGUUCUGAUUUUUAGCCUCCUGUGAAGCAACGUCUCCCAUCUCUGCUCUCCCUCAGCAACUGUCCUUCCCCCUCAUGAAGCAUACAGCGGAGUCUCAGGGCACCUUCUGAGACGGGAGAUGGCCGCAUACCCGGAUGGAUGGGCGUGCUCAGACAUUGCAUUAGCCACACACAACAAGUUACUUCUCUCCUCUCUCCGGGAUCCCAAGGUGGAGUUCUGGCAUAAUGACUUAGUUGCUUCUUUUGUCCUGUUAUUCAUCAUAGCCGCAGAAUGCAAACUAGGACACUAGACUCCAGCAGCCGUAUCACUUCUGAUGGCCAGGAGGAUGUUGGGUACAAGCCGUGACGAAUUGGCAGAGCUCUGGGAUGGAAAUCUGUAACUUGAUCAAACUUGCUUUUUCCUACACAGCUCUCCAGGGGAUGGUGAUCCACACAGCACUGUGGCGUUUCCAGCCUGCUUUUCUUCAUUAAGAAGAUCGUGUGA
Mus caroli (Ryukyu mouse) is the source of this 632-nucleotide long non-coding RNA. RefSeq lists it as uncharacterized. The record is from RefSeq and is a predicted model, not a curated record. Lineage: Eukaryota; Metazoa; Chordata; Mammalia; Rodentia; Muridae.